This is a long non-coding RNA of Homo sapiens (human), 1073 nucleotides long. The record is from Ensembl. Lineage: Eukaryota; Metazoa; Chordata; Mammalia; Primates; Hominidae.
AGGCCCUGGCGAGCGCGGCGGCGGCAGCGCUGGGGAACGGCGUCCCGCGCCCUCUGCUUCUCCGCGGGGCAGGGGCUCGGUCCCCGCCACCGUCUCCGGGGCGCCCCACACACUGGCGCCUGCGGUGGGGCCUGCUCCCGGCGGAGGACAAAGAAUCCAGACCCUUCCUGGACGCUUGUCCCCAGACGUUCCUUCCCUCUACGCCCCGAGGGGAAUCCCAGGGAAGGUUCCCAGAAAUACUACAGUGAGGAGAUCGCGGGUUGGAAGUCCCAGCACCUGAGAACACGGUGCUGGCGCUGGGCUCAAGAUUUGGCUUUCCCAUCUGGAAAAGGGGAAUGACUGCCCCGCCACUCAGGGCUGCGGCGCUCACCCAGCGGGAAGCCGCACGGCGGUCCCCGCAGGUCCCGAUUCAAGAGCAAAUACCACGUCUGGUCUACUGAAUUGGCAAGCCUCCUGGCUCAGGCACCACUGGACUCCAAUGUUCAGAAAACGGACAGUUGCUAUGUUGUGAGUAUUCUGGCAUUGUUGAGUUGGAACCAUCUGGAAUCCUUCUGGAUACUGACUGUUGGGCCCCUUGUAGUUUCUGGAAUUUACCCGCUUCUAGGAGCCACCUCUCUCCUCUGCACACAGGAGCUCAUCUGCACUAAAGGAUUAGAAGCAAAUAGAAUCUACCCCACGAUCCAAGCUCAAAGGAUCUGGCCUGCUUGCUGGUGUCUUCCCCUGGCCUCCGCUGGGUGGUGUUUGCCUGCCCAGGUCACUGAGACCAGCAGAUCCUUCUAGGCUUUGCUGAACCUGGCUGGUAAUAACUAUCUGACCCUUCAAUUCUUCCAUACACUGAACUCGUUGCUCCAGUGAAUCCCUUUCCCAGCCCACCUUGUUUUGUCUCUGCCUUUCUGUCUCUCCCACUUUCUCACCCUUUCAUGUAAUUCAGCAACUAUUUUAAAACAAAUAGCUUUAUAUGAACAAAAGGACUAGAUCAUGAACUACACUGGUUAUUUGGAAGUCUAGGUUCUGGUCCUGCUACCCCUUUAACUUGAGUUAUUUACAAGUCUGUUUAAAAGUUUCUAGACAUA